This is a small nuclear RNA of Eremothecium gossypii ATCC 10895, 109 nucleotides long. RefSeq annotates it as AgSNR32. The transcript has a single exon. The record is from RefSeq. NCBI's taxonomy places the organism in Eukaryota, Fungi, Ascomycota, Saccharomycetes, Saccharomycetales, Saccharomycetaceae.
GGCCGCAGUUCCCCCGAUCUUAUGUGCUGCCAGCGUAGAGAAACAAGGAUCGUUGCUGGGCGCCUGACGUUGAUCUAGUGUGAUACGUUGGGAAUCAGCUGUAUCCACA